RNAcentral lists this ribosomal RNA (422 nucleotides) under uncultured bacterium. RNAcentral's name for it is "bacterial SSU rRNA". It matches the Rfam family "Bacterial small subunit ribosomal RNA", at positions 355 to 774 of the family's 1533-position model. The record is from RNAcentral.
UGAGGAAUAUUGGGCAAUGCCCGCAAGGGUGACCCAGCAACGCCGCGUGGAGGAUGAAUGUCGUAAGAUUGUAAACUCCUGUUAGAGGGGAAGAAUAGUACCGGUUGGACCGGUAUAUGACUGUACCCUCAGAGAAAGCCCCGGCUAACUACGUGCCAGCAGCCGCGGUAAUACGUAGGGGGCAAGCGUUGUCCGGAUUUACUGGGUGUAAAGGGCGCGCAGGCGGGAUAAAAAGUCAGUGGUGAAAUCCUACAGCUUAACUGUAGAACUGCCUUUGAUACUUUUGUUCUUGAGUUCGGGAGAGAGAGACGGAAUUCCAGGUGUAGUGGUGAAAUACGUAGAUAUCUGGAAGAACACCAGUUGCGAAGGCGGUCUCUUGGUCCGACACUGACGCUGAGGCGCGAAAGCGUGGGGAGCAAACA